AGCCUAUGAUGUGAGAUUAAUAUUUGCUACUCUUGAUGGAUGCUCCCAGUUGAUGACCAUAAUCACCAAGAUCUCUGAGGCC
Non-coding RNA from Triticum urartu, 82 nucleotides. The record is from Rfam. Lineage: Eukaryota; Viridiplantae; Streptophyta; Magnoliopsida; Poales; Poaceae.